Mesocricetus auratus (golden hamster) is the source of this 331-nucleotide long non-coding RNA. RefSeq lists it as uncharacterized. The record is from RefSeq and is a predicted model, not a curated record. Lineage: Eukaryota; Metazoa; Chordata; Mammalia; Rodentia; Cricetidae. The transcript has 3 exons.
GCUGCCAUCAUCUUAGGGCCUCGCUUAACUUCAGGACCGCCACAAAUGCAAUGAGGCUCCCAGACUACCUUCUCGUAUGGAGACGAAGCCAAGGUGACAGUGAGUGACUUGGUCAGUUAGAAGAACUUCAGAUUGAAAAACACCUAGGUGAAAGCGAUUUGGAGAGGGAGCCUGUGAAGGAGGAGGGAAAGAGAAGGAAUGUAGACAGAGUUAUCAUCAACUGUGAUGAAGAUAAGAGAGUGAUCACCUCCUCCAGCUUGCGGAGCUCCUUCCUGAGUUCUUCCCUUAUGUCAUGGUGGUCUUCCUUCUUACCCUUAAAAAAACUUGCAAC